GUGCUGACCUCCGAUGUCAGAUUCAAGCUCCAACUAUCAGAGCUUGGAAAAUGGGUUACACCAUUAACUCAUUCCAAGCCAGGAUAGUCAUUUAACAUUUACUUGAUCCACACAAAUAUAUAUUGAGUGCUAUGUGCUAGGAGCCCUAAUGGCUGGGAGUAUGGCUGUGGAAAAGGCUGAUAAAGUUCUUGCUGUCAUGGAGAAGACGGGAAGGUAUAAUGAAGAAUCUUGAGGUCAUCCUGGAUUACCAAAGUGGGCCCUAAAUCCAGUGGCAGAAGACACAGACACAGAGAGGAGACCAGGUGAAGACAAAAGAAGAGGCUGGAGUGAUGCGACCAUCAGAGAGUGAAAAUACUCAGUUACCUCUUGGUUUAUGAGGCAAUGAAGCAUUCCAGCACAUAAAUAUUGACGCUGAGACCCAUGGGAUGUAGGAGUGCUGAGCACAUUUGCAAGACAUAAAGACAGAAGUGUGUGUGGUAUCUAGAUGAGAUGCAUGGUGAUGACUGGAGACUGGGCGUGAUGAAUGACUUAGGAAACCUCUGGAGGGUGCCUGCUUUGUGGCCAUAAACCACUGUGCCCAUGUGGAAAACACUGCAGUCCUGGGUCAGAAGAUAAACUUCAUGCUUGAUAAAAAAAAAACAACCAAAAGGUAAGGUUUUCUUCUGGUGUGCUGCAGUCUUUAGUCUUCUUCUGUUUUCCAUUCCCACUGGCAGUUCAAAGAUGUCCUUAAUCCAUCAUAUACCUCUUGAAUGUGUGCUGUGGGUUUACUGUCAUGAUGAAAAACUACUUCAUGAACUUAGUGAAGGAACUCGGGAUUGAGUCCGAGCUGCUUACAUAGCUUCUGGGGAAAAUUCACCCAAAUGUGGGGGAAGCAAUCCAAGAGGCACUUCAAGUAUUUGUUUUGAAAUAAAAAUAUUGACAGUGGUACAUAUUUUUUUUUCAAAGGUGUUUGUUAUUCCAUAAAUCCAUAUAGGUGAAUUUCAUUAGCGAAGUUCAGAUCACUAAUCUGAUGAUGCUACCUCUGUUAUGUCUCAAAUCUGCUCCCGCACCUCUAUCCUACUGCUACUAGUAUAAUUCAGACCCUCUCCCCUGAACUGUUACCUUAGACUCCUCAUGUCUGUAAUUUGUUUUACCUUUCUCAGCUAGAUUAAUCUUCCUGAAGCACAAAUCCAAUCAUGUCAAUAUUUUUCUCAGAAACAAAAUAGUAUCCCUUUUCCUGGAGAAUAAAGUCUAAUCUUAGCCAGUUGACUCAGCUCCGGCUCCAUUUAUCUCCACCAUUCAUUACCUCUCCUGCUUAUAACCAAUUACUGGCAUACCUCAGAGACAUGAUGGGUUCAGUUCCAAACCACCACAAUAAGGUGAAUAUCUCAAUAAAGCAAGUCACACAAUUGUUUUGGUUUCUCAGUGCAUAUAAAAGUUAUAUGUACAUUGUAGCUUAUUAGGGUACAAUUGAAUUAUGUCUAAAAAAAUCUAUAUACCUUAAUUUAAUAAAAACUAGCAUAUUACUAAAAAAUGCUAACAAUCAUUUGAACCUUCAGCAAAGUAUAAACUUUUUGCCAGUCUUGCCUUAAUGUUGAUGGCUGCUGACUAGUCAGAGAAAAUGAUUGCUGAGGGUUGGAGUGGCUGUGGCAAUUUCUUAAAAUAAAACAAUGAAAUUUGCCGCAUCAAUUGACUCUUCCUUUCACAAAAGAUUUCCCUGUAGCACGUGAUGCUGUGUGAUAGCAUUUUACCCACAGAAGAACUUCUUUAAAAAUUGGAGUGAGUCCUCUCAAACCCUGAUGCUUCAACUUAAAGUCACUAGCUGCAUUAACCCUUGCUAACAAGAGAGUCAGCCUGUCCUUUGAAGUUUGAAGCCAGGCAUUGACUUCUCUCUAGCUAUCAAAGUCAUAGACGGCAUAUUCUUCCAUUUUAAGGUGGUUUCAGUUGCAUGAAAAAACUUGUUUAGUGUAGCCAGCUUCAUCAAUGAUCUUAGCUAGAUCUGGAUAACUUGCUGUAGCUUCUACAUCUGCAUCAGCCUGCCUCAUCUUGAAUUUUUAUGUUAUGAACAGGGCUUCUUUUCUUAAACCUCAUAAACCAACUUCUGUUACUGUCGGACUUUUUUUCUGCAGCUUUCUCCCCUCUUUCAAUCUUCAGAGAACUGAAGAGAGUUAGGGUCUUGCUUUCGAUUAGGCUUUGGCUUAAGGGAAUGUUGUGGCUGGUUUGAACUUCUAUCGACAUGGCGAGUGACCAUGGCCCGUGACACAGACCUCAGGAAGUCCUCAGAACAUGUGCCCAAGGUGGUCGGGGUGCAGCUUAGUUUUAUACAUUUUAGAGAGGCAUGAGACACCAAUCAAAUACAUUUAAGAAACACAUUGGUUUGGUCCAGAAAGGCGGGACAACUCAAAGUAGGGAGGGGUGGGAGGAAGGGGUUGGCUUCCAGGCUAUAGGUAAAUUUAAACAUUUUCUAGUUGACAAUUGGUUGCGUUUGUCUAAAGACCUGGAAUCCAUAGAAAGGGAAAGUUCAGGUUAAGAUAAAAGAUUUGGAGACCAAAGUUCUUUCGAAGUCUUAUAAUGGCUGCCCUUAGAGACAAUAGAUGACAAAGUUUCCUAUUCAGAUCUUAGUUAAUCUCUUUAGGAUUGGGAGAGUCUGGAAGAAAAAGAACUAGCUAUGUUAAUAGAGAUUCUUUAUAGUUGCAAAUUUUCCCCCCAAAGAACACCUUUGCAGGGCCAUUUCAAAAUAAGGCAAAUAAACAUGUUUUGGGGUGAAGUAUUUUGAUUUUUUUCCUUCUCUCAUAAUGUUAUGCCAGAGUCGGGUUGGAAAGCAAGUCACGAUAUAUAAGGUUCAAUAAAACCUAUCUGAUGAGAAUUUAUGAUUUGUAGGGCAUGAUUCCCCAGACCUCUUAGAUAGGCAUUCGGGCAAGAU
Molecule: long non-coding RNA, 2902 nt
Organism: Pan troglodytes (chimpanzee)
Lineage: Eukaryota; Metazoa; Chordata; Mammalia; Primates; Hominidae
Exons: 4
Source: RefSeq, a predicted model, not a curated record